Molecule: long non-coding RNA, 2130 nt
Filed under: Pan troglodytes (chimpanzee)
Lineage: Eukaryota; Metazoa; Chordata; Mammalia; Primates; Hominidae
Description: lncRNA (ENSPTRG00000053209.1)
Source: RNAcentral
CAGCAAGCCUGGCAAUGGCGCGCCCCUCCCCCAGCCUCGCUGCCGCCUUGCAGUUUGAUCUCAGACUGCUGUGCUAGCAAUCAGCGAGACUCCGUGGGCGUAGGACCCUGCGAGCCAGGUGCCGGAUAUAAUCUCGUGGUGCGCCGUUUUUUAAGCCCGUCGGAAAAGCGCAGUGUUCCGGUGAGAGUGACCCGAUUUUCCAGGUGCGUCCGUCACCCCUUUCUUUGACUCCGAAAGGGAACUCCCUGACCCCUUGCGCUUCCCAAGUGAGGCAAUGCCUCGCCCUGCUUCGGCUCGCGCACGGUGCGGGCACCCACUGGCCUGCGCCCACUGUCUGGCACUCCCUAGUGAGAUGAACCCGGUACCUCAGAUGGAAAUGCAGAAAUCACCGGUCUUCUGAGUCGCUCACGCUGGGAGCUGUAGACCGGAGCUGUUCCUAUUCGGCCAUCUUGGCUCCUCCCCCCCCCAUGUAAGUUUUCUCAAAUGCAAACAUUUUUGAACAAGUUAAUGCUGUAUUUAUUCAGAAAAAGAAUAAGUUGGAAUUGGGAAGAGAAAAGAGAGGUAAUGCAGAUGACGGAACAGAAAAGUGUGUUUUUGCAAUGCCUUGUUAGAAGACAAAAAGGAAACAAGUCAAUCCAGGUGAAUCCUGAACAUUUGUCUCCUGGAUCAGUGUGGAGAAACAGCCACUGUCAACGAGGGGCUGGCAGAACCAGGGCACGUGGCUUAGCCAUGACCUCACGUAUUCUCUCACGGUGUCAUUAGGGAUAGUACUCGGACUAAUAACCCUGAGCAUCCCAGAGGAGGUUGGCCAACAGCUCUGAGGCCCCCCACGGCAUGUGUGUAAGGAUGCAACAGUUUGUCUAAUGGCUAAAGGAGAGAAAGCAGAAUCAGGAGUGGAUAAUACAGCUGGCCUUUCAGAGAAGGAAACACAGAAGAAUCCUCGUGCACCAAUGGAUGAGGCAGACGUUAAAUCCGCAGCACACUCUUCUCAGGGGAGCCUUCCUAAAAAAAUCGGUCCCUGUUCUAUGGACUAUGAUCCCAAUCUCUUAAAAGAAGACGAUGAACUACACUCUCAGGGAGAUAGCCUGAUGGAUCAUUCUGUGAAAGGAAAAUCAACUGUUUGGAGAAUUGGAGAAGCUGAAGAUUAUUCACAGGACAUAUCUUACUUGGAGGAACUGGAGGAACACCGAUUUUCUGUUUGGCUGUCUUCAAGGACAUCCCUAGUCUCGUAUUUGGCAAUCUGCCCUUAUUCUCUGUCUGCUGCUUUCUGAAAAUAAAUGAAAAGACUGUUGUGACACUCUUGAAGGAAAACAAGAGGAUUUUUAUUUUUCACAAGCUUUGCUCAUGACUUCAGGACACUGGAUGAUGAGCUGUUUUUAAAACUAUCUGAUCAAUUGCUAUAUAAAUGGAAAUUAAUUUCUAAAUGUACUCAAAGAUUCUAGAAGAUGAAUUCAGACAUCUCAGCUACUAUUCGUCUAUGUGGCUCUUUACCAUUGGAGAAAGGCGGUGUUGCCUUCUGGCUUCGUAGGACUUGAGUUCAAAUUCUCACUGUGGCUUUUACCCCUGGGGGGAGUUCUAUUUUGAUUUGCUUUACACAGGGGUUAUUGCAGUUUCCCUUCAUUUUGAGAAUCCCCGACAUUCAGGAAUUUUUAAUUUCCUAAUUUAGUAUUAGAUGUUUCCAUUCAGAGCUAAUUUAGAAGGCAUUUAAGUAUUUCAUUCACUUCCUCACAUCAUAUUCUAAUCCUUUUUUUCCAUUUAAUUCAGAGUUCUCCUGAAUAACAUAUUGAGUGUUUUGUUUUGUUUUUACCAAGUAGGACCUAAUAAUUAAUGUUGCGGUUAUGAAGAAUAGUAUGGGAAAUGUAACAUUUCACAUAAAAACAGAUUUUCCCCGUGUUUCUGAAUGUAUUUGUGUGUGCGUUGUCUGUGAUUGCCUCCAGGCAGAUGCAAUCCUAGUGCUGUGAAUUGCUUCUGAACACAUACACACACACACAGUCACACACACUCAUACACACACAGAGCAGUUUUGCUGAGAAAUAUUUUGCUAGCAAAUCUCACAGCUAUCUCUCUAAAUGACACUUGCUGCCCAUAUGUGCAGUGUGCAUUUAAUAAUCAUUCUGUCACCUACGAAAC